GGAGAGGUGGCCGAGCGGCUGAAGGCAACUGCCUGCUAAGCAGUUGGGCGGGUUACCGUCCCCCGGGUUCGAAUCCCGGCCUCUCCG
Molecule: transfer RNA, 87 nt
Filed under: Candidatus Zixiibacteriota bacterium
Lineage: Bacteria; Pseudomonadati; Candidatus Zixiibacteriota
Description: tRNA-Ser
Rfam family: tRNA
About the family: Transfer RNA (tRNA) molecules are approximately 80 nucleotides in length. Their secondary structure includes four short double-helical elements and three loops (D, anti-codon, and T loops). Further hydrogen bonds mediate the characteristic L-shaped molecular structure. tRNAs have two regions of fundamental functional importance: the anti-codon, which is responsible for specific mRNA codon recognition, and the 3' end, to which the tRNAs corresponding amino acid is attached (by aminoacyl-tRNA synthetases). tRNAs cope with the degeneracy of the genetic code in two manners: having more than one tRNA (with a specific anti-codon) for a particular amino acid; and 'wobble' base-pairing, i.e. permitting non-standard base-pairing at the 3rd anti-codon position.
Source: RNAcentral